This 667-nucleotide ribosomal RNA is filed under the name Serratia sp. 78.5_a_2_1. RNAcentral's name for it is "bacterial SSU rRNA". It matches the Rfam family "Bacterial small subunit ribosomal RNA", at positions 59 to 715 of the family's 1533-position model. Lineage: Bacteria; Pseudomonadati; Pseudomonadota; Gammaproteobacteria; Enterobacterales; Yersiniaceae. The record is from RNAcentral.
CAGUCGAGCGGUAGCACAGGAGAGCUUGCUCUCUGGGUGACGAGCGGCGGACGGGUGAGUAAUGUCUGGGAAACUGCCUGAUGGAGGGGGAUAACUACUGGAAACGGUAGCUAAUACCGCAUAAUGUCUUCGGACCAAAGUGGGGGACCUUCGGGCCUCACGCCAUCAGAUGUGCCCAGAUGGGAUUAGCUAGUAGGUGGGGUAAUGGCUCACCUAGGCGACGAUCCCUAGCUGGUCUGAGAGGAUGACCAGCCACACUGGAACUGAGACACGGUCCAGACUCCUACGGGAGGCAGCAGUGGGGAAUAUUGCACAAUGGGCGCAAGCCUGAUGCAGCCAUGCCGCGUGUGUGAAGAAGGCCUUCGGGUUGUAAAGCACUUUCAGCGAGGAGGAAGGGUAGUGUGUUAAUAGCACAUUGCAUUGACGUUACUCGCAGAAGAAGCACCGGCUAACUCCGUGCCAGCAGCCGCGGUAAUACGGAGGGUGCAAGCGUUAAUCGGAAUUACUGGGCGUAAAGCGCACGCAGGCGGUUUGUUAAGUCAGAUGUGAAAUCCCCGCGCUUAACGUGGGAACUGCAUUUGAAACUGGCAAGCUAGAGUCUUGUAGAGGGGGGUAGAAUUCCAGGUGUAGCGGUGAAAUGCGUAGAGAUCUGGAGGAAUACCGGUGG